This 360-nucleotide ribosomal RNA is filed under the name uncultured bacterium. RNAcentral's name for it is "bacterial SSU rRNA". It matches the Rfam family "Bacterial small subunit ribosomal RNA", at positions 336 to 714 of the family's 1533-position model. The record is from RNAcentral.
CUCCUACGGGAGGCAGCAGUGGGGAAUAUUGCACAAUGGGGGAAACCCUGAUGCAGCGACGCCGCGUGAGCGAUGAAGGCCUUCGGGUCGUAAAGCUCUGUCCUAAGGGAAGAUAAUGACGGUACCUUAGGAGGAAGCCCCGGCUAACUACGUGCCAGCAGCCGCGGUAAUACGUAGGGGGCGAGCGUUGUCCGGAAUUACUGGGCGUAAAGGGUGCGUAGGCGGCCUUGUAAGUCAGAUGUUAAAGCCCUCGGCUUAACCGAGGUAAGCAUUUGAAACUGCAGGGCUUGAGUACAGGAGAGGAGAGUGGAAUUCCUAGUGUAGCGGUGAAAUGCGUAGAUAUUUGGAAGAACACCAGUG